Molecule: ribosomal RNA, 610 nt
Filed under: Anophryoides haemophila
Lineage: Eukaryota; Ciliophora; Oligohymenophorea; Philasterida; Glauconematidae
Description: partial Bacterial large subunit ribosomal RNA
Rfam family: Bacterial large subunit ribosomal RNA
Source: RNAcentral
GGAAGAUUAAAUGAUGGGGUGCAAGCUCUUGAUUGAAGUCCCAGUAAACGGCGGCCGUAACGAUAACGGUCCUAAGGUAGCGAAAUUCCUUGUCGGGUAAGUUCCGACCUGCACGAAUGGCAUAAUGAUGGGGGCGCUGUCUCCAGCAGAGACUCAGUGAAAUCGAAUUCGCCGUGAAGAUGCGGUGUACCCGCGGCUAGACGGAAAGACCCCGUGAACCUUUACUGCAGCUUGACAUUGAACUUUGAUCUUACUUGUGUAGGAUAGGUGGGAGGCUUUGAAGCGUGGACGCCAGUUCGCGUGGAGCCAACCUUGAAAUACCACCCUGGCAACUUUGAGGUUCUAACUCAGGUCCGUUAUCCGGAUCGAGGACAGUGUAUGGUGGGUAGUUUGACUGGGGCGGUCUCCUCCUAAAGAGUAACGGAGGAGUACGAAGGUGCGCUCAGCGUGGUCGGAAAUCACGCGUAGAGUAUAAAGGCAAAAGCGCGCUUAACUGCGAGACCCACAAGUCGAGCAGGUACGAAAGUAGGUCUUAGUGAUCCGGUGGUUCUGUAUGGAAGGGCCAUCGCUCAACGGAUAAAAGGUACUCCGGGGAUAACAGGCUGAUUCC